Molecule: long non-coding RNA, 1013 nt
Filed under: Cyanistes caeruleus (blue tit)
Lineage: Eukaryota; Metazoa; Chordata; Aves; Passeriformes; Paridae
Description: lncRNA (ENSCCEG00000004681.1)
Source: RNAcentral
AGUUCCCUCACCAGUGUGGAGAUGAUUUUUGGGGUGGGACACCAGACAGGGUCCCCUGGUGGACAUGGACCACACCUGCUGGGUGUGAAGAUGGGAUGAGAUCUUCAUCUUUUGGGAUGAGAUCCUCAUCCGGUGUCCUCUGGUGGGCGUGGACCACACCUGGUGGGUGUGGAGAUGAUUUUUGGGAUGAGAUCCUCAUCUGGUGUCCUCUCUCCAGUGUGGAGAGGGUUUUCUGGUGUCUCCUGGUGGACGUGGAGAUGAUUUUUGGGAUGAGAUCCCAGGAUUUUUGGGAUGAGAUCCUCAUCCAGUGUCCCCUGGUGGACAUGGAGGGGAUUUUUGGGAUGAGAUCCUCAUCUGGUGUCCUCUGGUGGGUGUGGAGAUGAUUUUUGGGAUGAGAUCUUCAUCUGGAGUUCCCUCACCGGUGUGGAGAUGAUUUUCUGGUGUCUCCUGGUGGGCGUGGAGAUGAUUUUUGGGAUGAGAUCCCAGGAUUUUUGGGGUGAGAUCCUCAUCUGGUGUCCCCUGGUGGGCAUGGAGAUGAUUUUUGGGGUGAGAUCUUUAUCCAGUAUCCCCUAAUGGGUGUGGAGAGGAUUUUCUGGUGUCCCCUGGUGGGCAUGGAGGAGAUUUUUGGGGUGAGAUCCUUAUCCAGUGUCCCCUGGUGGGCGUGGAGAUGAUUUUUGGGAUGAGAUCCCAGGAUUUUUGGGAUGAGAUCCUCAUCCGCUGUCCCCUCACCGCUCUGGAGAUGUUUUUUGGGGUGGGACACCAGACGGGGUCCCCUGAUGGACAUGGACCACACCUGCUGGGUGUGGAGGGGAUUUUUGGGGUCCCCCGGCCACGCCCACGUCCGUCUGUCCCCGCAGUUACUGCGAUUAUUACCGGCCGCGCUUCUUCCUGCUGGAGAACGUCCGGAACUUCGUGUCCUUCAAGAGGUCCAUGGUGCUGAAGCUGACCCUGCGCUGCCUGGUGCGCAUGGGCUACCAGUGCACCUUCGGGGUGCUCCAGGCCGGGCAGUACGG